AAAACAGUUAUGAAAUAAUUAUGAUGUGACAUUAAUAUAUCUGACGUGGAAAUGACAUGUCAAUUAUAUAAAGGAGAGUGAGCUACACACAUGGUUGGAGGGGCUUAAAAGUCCCAUUUUAAUUGAGUUUAAGGGUCCAUAUGACAAAGGGGUAAGUAGAAGGGUUCAGAAUACAAACUGAUACAAGUAUAAGGGUCCACCAGA
This 204-nucleotide long non-coding RNA is filed under the name Solanum tuberosum (potato). Its description in RNAcentral is "long non-coding RNA (STUB_LNC005313)". The record is from RNAcentral. Lineage: Eukaryota; Viridiplantae; Streptophyta; Magnoliopsida; Solanales; Solanaceae.